CCAGAUUUCCUAGCUUCCAUGUUGAGCUUAAAGUUUUGAUAUAGUAUGGAUGUAUCCAUCUUAGCCACAACCUAUCUUGUUUGGGAGUGAGUUCACAAUACAUUUUUGCUAUAGCUGCUUUGUUCCAGAUUUGUAGGUUGAAAGGCACACUGUGUCUCAAGCAACUUAUGCUCUUUCGGUGAUGGUAUUGUCCCUGACCUGACAUAACUUCUACAAUAAUCAUCUCCAGUCUUCACCACUUUGUUAGGCAAUUGGGACCAAUAAGAUUGAAUACUAAAUAAAACAGAUUGGACCAGUUGAAUCCUUUCUGUAAAUGAAAGCUUUCAGCCCUGAUGCUAAUGAAAUGUUGUGAACAUAGCUUUGUUUCAUGCAGCAUUGCCAAAUAUAAGGCAUUUACAUGGUACCCUAUACCCUCUCCAAGAAGUUUCGAAUAGAUUUGUCUGAUUAGCCCUUUAGGAUUAGUGACUAUAUGUUGAAUCUGCUCCCAGAUUUCCUAGCUUCCAUGUUGAGCUUAAAGUUUUGAUAUAGUAUGGAUGUAUCCAUCUUAGCCACAACCUAUCUUGUUUGGGAGUGAGUUCACAAUACAUUUUUGCUAUAGCUGCUUUGUUCCAGAUUUGUAGGUUGAAAGGCACACUCUGUCUCAAGCAACUUAUGCUCUUUCGGUGAUGGUAUUGUCCCUGACCUGACAUGACUUCUACAAUAAUCAUCUCCAGUCUUCACCACUUUGUUAGGCAAUUGGGACCAAUAAGAUUGAAUACUAAAUAAAACAGAUUGGACCAGUUGAAUCCUUUCUGUAAAUGAAAGCUUUCAGCCCUGAUGCUAAUGAAAACUGAUUAAAGCAGACACUUCAAGCAUUAAGAGAAUCGAAAUCACCUCUAACAAACAGUAGCAAGUCAUCAGCGCAGCUUAAACGAGUCACUUCCAUCUUACUUAGGAUGAAAUUUGUACUUUCUAUUAUGUUUCAGAUUAGUAAAGCAUCUAUUUAGGUUUGUCUGUUAAAUAUUCAUCUGCAUGUCAUUCUUUGGGAAGAUCAAGUCUAGGUAUCUAAAUUGUUUGCAUGUAGACACUAAAAUAUUGCCUAAUCUCACUUCACUUC
This 1096-nucleotide long non-coding RNA is filed under the name Capsicum annuum. RNAcentral describes it as "long non-coding RNA (CANN_LNC005614)". Lineage: Eukaryota; Viridiplantae; Streptophyta; Magnoliopsida; Solanales; Solanaceae. The record is from RNAcentral.